RNAcentral lists this ribosomal RNA (506 nucleotides) under uncultured bacterium. Its description in RNAcentral is "partial 16S ribosomal RNA". It matches the Rfam family "Bacterial small subunit ribosomal RNA", at positions 29 to 523 of the family's 1533-position model. The record is from RNAcentral.
AUUGAACGCUGGCGGCAGGCCUAACACAUGCAAGUCGGACGGUAGCACAGAGGAGCUUGCUCCUCGGGUGACGAGUGGCGGACGGGUGAGUAAUGUCUGGGGAUCUGCCCGAUAGAGGGGGAUAACCACUGGAAACGGUGGCUAAUACCGCAUAACGUCGCAAGACCAAAGAGGGGGACCUUCGGGCCUCUCACCAUCGGAUGAACCCAGAUGGGAUUAGCUAGUAGGCGGGGUAACGGCCCACCUAGGCGACGAUCCCUAGCUGGUCUGGAAGGAUGACCAGCCACACUGGAACUGAGACACGGUCCAGACUCCUACGGGAGGCAGCAGUGGGGAAUAUUGCACAAUGGGCGCAAGCCUGAUGCAGCCAUGCCGCGUGUAUGAAGAAGGCCUCCGGGUUGUAAAGUACUUUCAGCGGGGAGGAAGGCGAUAAGGUUAAUAACCUUGUCGAUUGACGUUACCCGCAGAAGAAGCACCGGCUAACUCCGUGCCAGCCGCCGCAGUAA